Molecule: long non-coding RNA, 472 nt
Organism: Juglans regia (Persian walnut)
Lineage: Eukaryota; Viridiplantae; Streptophyta; Magnoliopsida; Fagales; Juglandaceae
Exons: 2
Source: RefSeq, a predicted model, not a curated record
CCUCUUGCUGUGUAGCUUAUACUUGAGGCCAGCAACGGACGUAGACAUAUCUUUGAGUGUGAAGAGCGUAUCAAGCAAAAGAAAGAGAAAAAUGGCAUCACUCAAACCUGAAAAACCUGUUGCAGGCUCUCAACCACCUCCACAGGUCAAGAAAGAGCCUACAAAACCUGCUUCCGGGAGCACAGCUACACCCAAAGCUCCGGCCUCCAAACAAGCCCCUAAGAAGCCUGAGCAAAGGCCUCGGGAGCCUAAGAAGAAGGCAGCAGGAGCCAAGUGAGCAGAGACUAAGUAGAAUUAAUGAGGACGACAAGGCGUGCGUUUGAAGGGUCUGUGAAGAUGUCAAUUCAUGCCGGUACGUCCUCCGUAAUAAUGUUCAUAAAUAUUUCAGAAGUUGCUUCUGAUUUGUAUCCAUGUGUCUCCUUUUAGGCUUGGCCUACUAAAUAAAAACAUAACUAUUUCAAUAUAUAAUGAG